UAGGCCCGAAACGUCCGCCUUCGUGCUCCUCUGAUGCUGCUUGGCCUGCUGUGUUCAUCCAGCUCUACACCUUGUUAUCUCAGGAACUGCUCUUGCCAGCGGGUUUGGCUGUUCUUCGGGCCGGCACUGUCUCUCCCGAGUCGCGCCUCGGUUACGGUGCAGAAAGAGAGAGAGAGAGAGAGAGAGAGAAACUGACUGACUGGAGAGGUUGGAGCUGCGGCCAAGAAUGAGCUCGAUGCUCUGGCCGCGAACCGGCUUGUCCGUUUCAGCCCUGAGUCAGAGGGGGAAAAAAAGGGUUUCCUCUGCGGGUUUGCAGGAGAUGAGGCGAGGCGUGCACACUGUCGAUACGAUCAAGUCCACCUGGAGCUUGGCUCAUCCUCCUACACAAUGGUACAAAUCCCCACUCAUCCUCUUGCAGAACGUGGCACCGCUCUUGUUGAGUAUUUGGUCCAUGUGGCAAGUAACUAAUUGCAGCGAUUGCACAGGACACCGCUUGGCACUUAUGAGAAAUUCCGUGGAGAGCAACUGAUGAAGUAAAAACCAACCAGGACUGCAAUGAAACACCAAAGCCUAGUUAAUUCGGAAAAAAAAACUUUUGGGGUGUCGGGAAGGACGUAGUGCACGUAAUAGGUUAUAUGAUACCUUUUAAUGCAAAAAAAAUCCCUUCACGUAAACGGAAAAUGUAACAUAUAUAAACUAUAGGAGGGUAUUUCUAGGAUUCGGAUAGCUUCUCGACAACUGAAGGCAUUUCUACCAAAGAUAAAGCCAUAAAAAUUUGGGACACAGUUGGCUAUUUUAUUGCAAGAUCGAUAUAUUUCGCCUGUAUUACAACUGUAAUGUGUGUCACAAAUAAGUUUCUUUAUAAACAAUCCAGCAGCGGAGAACAUAUGGCAAUCGUUUUUCAGAGAACAUUUGAGUGAUUUGAUUGUUUAAUCGCAGCAAAACUUAUUUUCCUUUUAAUAGAAUGUUUACACAGAUGUUUAAUUUGGACAGGUACAUGAAUUGGAAGGUUUAGAGGGAUAUAGGCCAAAUGCAAGCAAAUGAAGCUCGUUCAGUUUAGGAAAGCUGAUCGGCCAGAACCUUUGGGUCAAAAGGUCGUUUUCCAUGCUAUAUGACUCUUAAGUACAGAGUUGCAUUCCAAAUGUAUACACAGGAAGCUUUAAUGAAACAAAUGUUGAUAUACGUAGUAAGGGUUUUGGAAGCUCCCCUUCAAGUACUGCUCCGGGGCUUGUUCACGAUAUAAGGAGUAUUCAUGACUUAGUCAAACUGGCUGAUAAUAGGGUUAGGGUUACGGGUCUAGGCCCGAAACGUCAGCCUUCCUGCUUCCCCUGGUGCUGCUGCUUGGCCUCCUGUGUUCAUCCAGCUCUACACCUUGUUAUCGCAGAUUCUCCAGCAUCUGCAGUUCCUACUAUCUCUGGUUGAUAAUUAAACCUGUUGAUGUUUAAAACGGGCCCUUAGCACUAGUUAAGAACAGGAAAAAAAAUCAUGAUCAUGUUAUUCUUGAUGCAGACGGAUGCCCUCAAGCUGUGACUUCCCUAACAAAGAAAAUAAACAAUGAGUUAAUUAUUUUCCAAAGUACAAGAUGGAUUUGCCAUUUUUUGUUUAAAAAUGACUUAUGAUGCUGUUUGAUUCUAAAUUAAAAUUCUAUGCCAAACAUCAACUCUUUAAUUUUACCUCUCUCAGUAACACUAGCAAUUACAAUGACCUUUUCCUAUCAAUUUACAUGGGCUUUCAAAAGGCCUUCAUUGUGGUACUUUCUAUCAAACUCUGUUGAGCAGAAUAAGAAUUGUCAGAUGAUACCAGUUCAGUUUUUGUGCCAUCUCCCAGGUCUCCGGAAUAACUGGUCAACUGUGUGGAAGGUUGCCUCCUGAUGGAAACUAAUGUUUUCCUGUUUUUCCUCACCAUCCUAAUUUCUGUCUCCACAAGAUUGUGCUCCAGAUGUAGUGUUUUUCUCAAGAACUUGUCCUUGAUGAUUUUGAUCAUGAGUCCACAUUGACUCUGCAGCCUGGAGAUCUGUAAAUUUUGUACUCUGGCAAUUAUUACAAUUCUGUGUAUGAGUGAAAUCGUACUUAUCAAUCUAAAGCAUAUAUCUUACAGCACAUAUAAAUGGACAUGAAAAGAGUAAGAAAUUGAGUGCAGCUUCCUUCCCCUUGGAAACUCAAAUAGAGCCAGACUACCUCAUAGCAUUAUAAAAUCAUAACUUUGUAGUGUCAGGUUAAUGUCAUCAUUCUUUUUCAAUAAAGAAUUUAUCUUAAUCCCUUUCUGGCCUCACUAUGAGCUUGUAAAUAUCUCAGUGAGUUAGUCUUGUGGGCAAGCUCACAAGUAUUUGAAGUAUUCACAAGGAAAGUGUGGGCCUUGCCUAAAAUGAUGAGGUUUGGAAUCCCAAAUAUAGAAGAUUUUCAAUGUGCAAUGACAGCUUCGGGCAUAUGACCACGUAGACGUUUUACCUCCAUCCACCCAGAAUAGUAAUCAACCACAAUUAAAAACAUCUUCUGUCUGGCUCAAAAAAAAUCAUUCCAAGAUGUUCCCACUGUCUGUACAGAAGUGAAGACAGCAACUGUAAUUCCCUUUGUUCUUACCAAUGGAUAGCACAUUAUUUCCGUUGGAGUUCUUUUUGAAUAAUUUUGGGGGCCUUGGCAAUUGAACAGAAUUGCAUGUUUUGGCAGAACACCUCCUGACAUCCACAUAACAUGAGUAUAAUCUUUGUAGUAUAUUGAGCCAGAGGACCAUUGGUAUGAUCAAUCUUACCUAAUAAAUCAAGAAGUUACUCACAACACCAAUAUGUUUCUUUGUCCAAAAUAUUACUUCAAAAGUGUUUGAGCCUGAGAGAUGACAUGAUACAACAUGUAUCAUUUGUAAAUUGUGAAGGGGUUCAAUGGGAAAGAUAUGGGAGUUUUCAAAAUUAAGGCCCAAAAUAUAAAAGUCAUGAAUAAAUCAAUAAGAAACUCAGGACAAACUUCUUUAUGUUGAAGAUAGCACGCAUGUAGAAUCCAUUGCCACAUAAGAUUGUGGAAGAUGGUGCGGAUGAAUUUAAAGGGACCUACAUUUAGCAUGAGUAAAUUUUUAAAAAGUAUACAUUGAUAGGGUGUAAUGAAGUGAGGUGGGAGGAGGAUCAUGUGAAGCAUGAACAACUGGAUUAAUUGGUCUGUUUCCGUUCUGUAAAAUUAUAAGUAACUUUGAAUGAUUGUGAAAUGUGUCAAGAAUGUAAAAGUUCUUUAUGCUAUGUUGCAGUUCCUCUUUAAAAAUAAUACUUUGUCAGUCAAGCUGCAAAUGAUUUUGUGAACCUGUUGUUCUCUUUGGGGCAUUGCCUUGCUUGAUGUCUCUCCCUUAUUUUGUAUGGCUCUUAUUAAAGUUUUUCUGUCACAUG
Rhincodon typus (whale shark) is the source of this 3367-nucleotide long non-coding RNA. RefSeq lists it as uncharacterized. Lineage: Eukaryota; Metazoa; Chordata; Chondrichthyes; Orectolobiformes; Rhincodontidae. The transcript has 2 exons. The record is from RefSeq and is a predicted model, not a curated record.